CCUACGGGAGGCAGCAGUGAGGAAUAUUGGUCAAUGGACGAGAGUCUGAACCAGCCAAGUAGCGUGAAGGAUGACUGCCCUAUGGGUUGUAAACUUCUUUUAUAAAGGAAUAAAACGAGGCACGUGUGCCUUUUUGCAUGUACUUUAUGAAUAAGGAUCGGCUAACUCCGUGCCAGCAGCCGCGGUAAUACGGAGGAUCCGAGCGUUAUCCGGAUUUAUUGGGUUUAAAGGGAGCGUAGAUGGGUUGUUAAGUCAGUUGUGAAAGUAUGCGGCUCAACCGUAAACGUGCAAUUGAUACUGGCAGUCGUGAGUACAGUGGAGGUAGGCGGAAUUCGUGGUGUAGCGGUGAAAUGCUUAGAUAGCACGAAGAACCCCGAUUGCGAAGGCAGCUUACUAAACUGUGACUGACAUUGAUGCUCGAAAGUGUGGGUAUCAAACAGGAUUAGAGACCCGUGUAGGC
Molecule: ribosomal RNA, 460 nt
Filed under: uncultured bacterium
Lineage: Bacteria
Description: partial 16S ribosomal RNA
Rfam family: Bacterial small subunit ribosomal RNA
Source: RNAcentral